UUUUUUUUGAACCCAGAUUAUCAUCAUCAUCAUCCAUAUAUAUGAUCAGCAACAAAAACCAAAAAGGAGAAGAGCAGAUCUAAAGAUUUUUUUGGCCUUUCUUCUCCAAAAAACGGAGCACGCCAUUAGCAUACACAGUACAUACUAAUCUUCUUCUUUUUCUUUUGAUCUACACUCCUCUCACGAUUCACACACACACACACACUUGCUCUAGCUGGAAACACUUGCACACAGUAGCACCUAUAAAAAGAGAGCAAAAUUAUGAGAAUCGGGGAGCUAAUCGGAGAAGGUUGAUUGAAAAUAGAGGGGAGAAGAAGAGUGAACGCGAGAGAGAGGAGAAAGAGGGAAAACGACCCUUGGUUUGGUUUUCCGGCGACGUACUCGCCGGAUUCAUCACCGGAAAUACACUGCCAGCCAUCCUCAUCACUGUUCUGGUGACCCAGUCGCCGGAUUUCAAAAAUUUUCGUUAGCUCGCUUCCUUCACAGCUCACCGAAAAAUAGAAAUAGUCAAGAAUUAGGAGAGAUCAAGAGAGCCAGUGAAGAAACGGAGGGGAAAGAAAAGAUUAAAAGGCAGCUUUGGUUGAAUAUUCCGGCGACGUUCUCGCCGGAAUCAUCAUCUCGUCUUGAAAUCCGGCUACCACCUCUCUGAAUCCGUUCAAAUCCAUUGAAAACACCUGCUCCUCACCGAAAACGCGUCAAACCGCUCAAAAAUCCAUCAAAAAUGUGACCCAUUUAUUUUUGCUUCCACUGUAGUUGCUAAUUCCGGCGAGUUCUUGGCCGGAAUUGGAUAUUUCAGAUCGAAUUAGGGUGUUGUGUUUGAAAUCGUGUCAACAGUUGUGAUUUGGAUUCCGUAUUACGAGUUUUUCUUCACUGGUUUUUAGAGCUGCCUGGUUAUUAUUUUCAAUACCUAGCUUGGUUUGAUCGUUGUUGAGGUUGUGCUCGGGAUAUUCGGACGCGGUCUUCAUUUUUUUACUCAAGUAAUAUUUGAGUUUGGAAGCUGCAAAUCGAGGGAAUGCCUCGAAGUAUCUGUAUAUAUUUACUCACCGGGGAAUGCCUCGAAGAAUUUUGUAUGCAAAGGAUGCUCGUGACCAAGGCCCGAGGCAUCGGGUAAAACAUAGUUUAGGACUAGUGUAGGUUAUUUCAGUAUUUUUAUUUCGGGUUGUAAUAAUUUGGACUGGACUUUACAUUUUUGUUUUGUUUUGUUAUUGUUUGA
Molecule: long non-coding RNA, 1213 nt
Organism: Capsicum annuum
Lineage: Eukaryota; Viridiplantae; Streptophyta; Magnoliopsida; Solanales; Solanaceae
Exons: 2
Source: RefSeq, a predicted model, not a curated record